This 883-nucleotide ribosomal RNA is filed under the name uncultured bacterium. RNAcentral describes it as "bacterial SSU rRNA". It matches the Rfam family "Bacterial small subunit ribosomal RNA", at positions 26 to 896 of the family's 1533-position model. The record is from RNAcentral.
AGAUUGAACGCUGGCGGCAGGCUUAACACAUGCAAGUCGAGCGGAAACGAAGAUAGCUUGCUAUCAGGCGUCGAGCGGCGGACGGGUGAGUAACGCGUAGGAAUCUACCUAGUAGUGGGGGAUAGCCCAGAGAAAUUUGGAUUAAUACCGCAUACGCCCUACGGGGGAAAGGAGGGGAUCUGUUUACAGACCUUUCGCUAUUAGAUGAGCCUGCGUGAGAUUAGCUAGUUGGUGGGGUAAAGGCUCACCAAGGCGACGAUCUCUAGCUGGUCUGAGAGGAUGAUCAGCCACACUGGGACUGAGACACGGCCCAGACUCCUACGGGAGGCAGCAGUGGGGAAUAUUGGACAAUGGGGGCAACCCUGAUCCAGCCAUGCCGCGUGUGUGAAGAAGGCCUUCGGGUUGUAAAGCACUUUCAGCGAGGAGGAAAGGUUGUAGGUUAAUAACCUGCAGCUGUGACGUUACUCGCAGAAGAAGGACCGGCUAACUCCGUGCCAGCAGCCGCGGUAAUACGGAGGGUCCGAGCGUUAAUCGGAAUUACUGGGCGUAAAGCGCGCGUAGGCGGUUAGAUCAGUCAGAUGUGAAAGCCCUGGGCUCAACCUGGGAACUGCAUCUGAUACUGUCUAACUAGAGUUUGGUAGAGGAGUGUGGAAUUUCCUGUGUAGCGGUGAAAUGCGUAGAUAUAGGAAGGAACACCAGUGGCGAAGGCGACACUCUGGACCAAAACUGACGCUGAGGUGCGAAAGCGUGGGGAGCAAACAGGGUUAGAUACCCUGGUAGUCCACGCCGUAAACGAUGUCUACUAGCCGUUGGGAGACUUGAUCUCUUAGUGGCGCAGCUAACGCGAUAAGUAGACCGCCUGGGGAGUACGGUCGCAAGAUUA